GGUGUUUAGGUGUGCAAGUGGUUAAGUUCUCCAUCUUCAAAUGUCCAUUUUCCCUGUUGCCUUCACCAUUUCAUGUGAGUAAAACAGUGUCACAACCACUAUCAUAAUUCCGCCGCUUCAUUUUCACCGAGUCGCAUCCCUCUGCUUUGGUUUGAAGUACGUUAUUUCGCGCUGCGCGCGUUACUACGUAAUCAUAUUCUGGACUACUCCAAUGCACAAUGGAGGGGGGCAUGUGUGCUGGAAAAUUAUUAUUUAGGCAUUAGUUUGGCGUUAUGUUGAUAUUUUUGUUAUUUUUUUCUACUAGAAAUGUUUUUUUAUUUUUUUACUUUACAUAAGUAAUGGCUGGGGGGGUCAGAUUUGGGGGCCCCUAAUAAAGACAGAUUUGGUUGGGGCCCUAGGCACUUGCCUAGGUUUGCCUAAUGGAAGAUCCGCUUCUG
Gadus macrocephalus (Pacific cod) is the source of this 437-nucleotide long non-coding RNA. RefSeq lists it as uncharacterized. The transcript has 2 exons. NCBI's taxonomy places the organism in Eukaryota, Metazoa, Chordata, Actinopteri, Gadiformes, Gadidae. The record is from RefSeq and is a predicted model, not a curated record.